CAAUACAUAUAGCAUUCAACAUGACAAUAAUAAUGUAGUAAUAAUGUAGCAACGAAGGUAUACACUUAGUCUAAAAUGAAAUUUUAUAAAAUAUAUAUGUGCUUCGGUAGAAGAGACACCUUUGAUCAAUCUAAGCCACUAUUGGACCCUGCAUAUGAACCCUCGUAAUAUACCCCACAUCAAAAGUAGCUGAAUGCCCAUUUGACUGCCAUAGAGCUAAAAGGGUCCAAAAUAGUAUUUACAAGGAAAAACUCAAGUAAGCUUCCACAAUAUUUCCGAUUAUACAAAAAUUUGAACUACCAUAGAGCUAAGUAAAAUCUCAUGCAAGGAGAUUCAUGUGAUAUACUGAAGAUAUAUAUGAUCCACUAUUCUCUAUCUAAUAUUAUAUGCAGGAAGAAAAGGAAUUAAAUACCCUCUCCUUAUUAUUGAGGGAAACAUCAUCCAUCACAUGUAUAUCCAUUGUGCUAGGCUCUUAGCAUCACACCAGUGCAGGACUUGAAAAAGAUUGCCUCAAUGCCUCUUGUGCUCAUGCCGUGAGGCCAGCCUGCACAACUUUGCUAACCUGUAUCAAUUUGAAGAUGUAAAACAGAGAAUUAGGUAAAGGAUUGUUCAACUAUGUAUCACAGUGUGAGUUGUGACUAACUAUAUGGGAAAAGCAAGUGACUGAACUCAGGUAUGAAUUCAUGCAGGAAAAGUGUAUGAAGAACCAAAAUCAUAUUCUGCCAUUUGAUUAGUCAUCCUGCAAUAAAAGACAUUGUCUUCUAAGUACAAGUACUUGACUAUAUCUGUCCUAAAGCAUCAUUCUAUCUAUUUAUCUAAGCAAUCUAGAAGUUAAAAUACAUGACCUAGAUAAGUUCAUAUAAGCUAGUGUUGCAAUGUUGUUUACUUAUGUCAUAGUGGGUUUUCUUAGCACAUCAUCGCCUAGCCAGCUCAACAAACUAACAUGUGCCAUAUCACCCUUUUGAUAAAGUUACUUCCCCCUCACAGCCAAUUCUGUAGUCCUUAGCAGGAAGGAGAUGGUUCAUAUCGAGCUCCCACAGUUGGCUACAUGCAUUCGAUAAGCUAUUUAUCUCCUAGUAGGCCAAUGAGUCCUUGGUUAAUGUGACUGACAUCCUCAUGGCUUUUGUUCUGAUGGUGGCUCUUUCUGUAUCCAAUUAUCCCUUCCAUGCUUUAUACUGCAUGGUGCAAUAGCCAGGAUUUAGAGUUCAGAUAGAACAAGGAAGCUUCAGAAUAUGCAAUUAUCGUUAUUAGAUGUUCCCCAUGCAACUUGAGUGUCAGUUUAUUUAUGCAGGCAAUCUUACAAGAAACAAAUGGGAUCUCUAGCCAUGUAGUUACAGACCACAUUAUGUAACAGUCAGAUGAUUCUUUUUUUCAGUGUACCUCGACAAAGCAUUGGUACCUGUAAAUGUUGGCUGACAUUUAUAUAGAGAAAGAACCUAAGAAAACUAAAGUAAGAGCUUAAACACAUUCCCAGCUGUUUAUUAUGAAGAAAAAAAUAAAGAAAAAGAAAUGGCAUUUCUGAUUUUUAGAAAACUGAAAUCAAACAGUAGUUAUGCAGUUGCUUCAUUAAAUGUUGCUUCUGAUCAGGCUCAUCAUCUUGACUACAUGAAUAAAUUCUGCUACUCCUUCAAGCACAAAUACUAUUGCCAUGAUCAUGGUAGCUCACAAAUAACCGCUAGGACAAAUAGCUCACAAAUAACUGCUAGCACAAAUACUCUACAGGCCUCCCCUUCCCUACACAGCCUCAGUAGGUAACCAAAUCAAAAGGAACUAUUUCUAGUUGCAACAAAUAGAAUUUAGUGGCAGUCCAAUUGACUUCUGAUGGGGGA
Molecule: long non-coding RNA, 1829 nt
Filed under: Setaria viridis
Lineage: Eukaryota; Viridiplantae; Streptophyta; Magnoliopsida; Poales; Poaceae
Description: long non-coding RNA (SVIR_LNC003743)
Source: RNAcentral